RNAcentral lists this long non-coding RNA (632 nucleotides) under Vulpes vulpes (red fox). RNAcentral's name for it is "lncRNA (ENSVVUG00000001043.1)". Lineage: Eukaryota; Metazoa; Chordata; Mammalia; Carnivora; Canidae. The record is from RNAcentral.
AUGAUUUUUAAUUUUAGUUCAAGAAGUUGGUGGUAUUGCUUUGACAAUCAUUUAGCCCGCUGGACUAAGGAACCUACGCACUAUUUCCUGCUCCCUAUCACUGGACCUCACUGGCGGCCACAGGAAUGGAGUCGUAGGACACCACGCCCGGGGCCACCCAGUUGUGGUGGUUUGCAUGUGCCUCCCCCGUGCUCUUCUCGGCAGCCUGAUGGGGUUUGCGGGGGAAGAGCAUGCAGAGCCUGGCCCCAGGCUAAAUCUCUCCGAGCAGUAAAAGUUCUUCCACAGUGUCUCCUACAAACUGUUGCCUGGUUUCUUCACUUUGCUUUGAUGUUUUCUGCAGUUACUGAGAUAAAGGAGUCACGAAAAGUUAAAUGUUCCCAAGUGACUGAUGAGUUAGGGGUACAGUAUUGAGAAGGAUCGACUGAAACACAGGUUCCGUGCAUCAGGUGGGUGUCAGCUUCCUGAGCCAUGCCCACUUAAAUCCAAACAAGUAUGUUUUGCAUCGUGCCUUUCAAAGCCCCUCUUCUGUUUGCCAAGAUGGGUUCAUUCAGUAACUCGUUGUUGGCUUGUUUCCUCAGCAGGAAUCUGUCCGGCUCCUAUUAUAAGUUUGUUGGGCUGGUGCUGGGCUCUGC